This 482-nucleotide ribosomal RNA is filed under the name uncultured bacterium. RNAcentral's name for it is "partial 16S ribosomal RNA". It matches the Rfam family "Bacterial small subunit ribosomal RNA", at positions 30 to 507 of the family's 1533-position model. The record is from RNAcentral.
AUUGAACGCUGGCGGCAUGCCUUACACAUGCAAGUCGAACGGUAACAGGCCGCAAGGUCCUGACUGGUGGUGGACGGGGGAGUAAUGCUACCGCAUGGGUCCCGUCCCUGUGGAUAACUACUCGCAUGAGUAGCUAAUAGCUCAUACCGGCUAUUAAUGUAAACCGGGUGGUGCAAGGGUGCGCGCGAGUCUUGCUGCCGAUGUCAGAUUAGUUAGUUGGUGGGGUAAAGGCUCACCAAGGCAACGAUCUGUAGCUGGUCUGAGAGGACGAGCAGCCACACUGGGACUGAGACACGGCCCAGACUCCUACGGGAGGCAGCAGUGGGGAAUUUUGGACAAUGGGCGCAAGCCUGAUCCAGCAAUGCCGCGUGCAGGAAGAAGGCCUUCGGGUUGUAAACUGCUUUUGUUCGGGACGAAACGGUUUUGGUGAAUACCCGGGGAUAAUGACGGUACCGUAAGAAUAAGCACCGGCUAACUACGUG